RNAcentral lists this ribosomal RNA (583 nucleotides) under uncultured Methanosarcina sp. RNAcentral describes it as "bacterial SSU rRNA". It matches the Rfam family "Archaeal small subunit ribosomal RNA", at positions 83 to 668 of the family's 1478-position model. Lineage: Archaea; Methanobacteriati; Methanobacteriota; Methanomicrobia; Methanosarcinales; Methanosarcinaceae. The record is from RNAcentral.
CGGCUCAGUAACACGUGGAUAACCUGCCCUUGGGUCCGGCAUAACCCCGGGAAACUGGGGAUAAUUCCGGAUAACGCACAUAUGCUGGAAUGCUUUAUGCGUCAAAUGGAUUCGUCCGCCCAAGGAUGGGUCUGCGGCCUAUCAGGUAGUAGUGGGUGUAAUGUACCUACUAGCCUACGACGGGUACGGGUUGUGAGAGCAAGAGCCCGGAGAUGGAUUCUGAGACAUGAAUCCAGGCCCUACGGGGCGCAGCAGGCGCGAAAACUUUACAAUGCGGGAAACCGUGAUAAGGGGACACCGAGUGCCAGCAUCAUAUGCUGGCUGUCCGGGUGUGUAAAAUACACCUGUUAGCAAGGGCCGGGCAAGACCGGUGCCAGCCGCCGCGGUAACACCGGCGGCCCGAGUGGUGAUCGUGAUUAUUGGGUCUAAAGGGUCCGUAGCCGGUUUGGUCAGUCCUCCGGGAAAUCUGACGGCUCAACCGUUAGGCUUUCGGGGGAUACUGCCAGACUUGGAACCGGGAGAGGUAAGAGGUACUACAGGGGUAGGAGUGAAAUCUUGUAAUCCCUGUGGACCACCUGUGGCG